UACGGGGGGGGCAAGCGUUGUUCGGAAUUACUGGGCGUAAAGGGCGCGUAGGCGGUCGGAUAAGUCAGCUGUGAAAACCACGGGCUUAACUCGUGGCCUGCAGUUGAAACUGUCUGGCUAGAGUGUGGGAGAGGGAAGUGGAAUUCCUGGUGUAGCGGUGAAAUGCGUAGAUAUCAGGAGGAACACCGGUGGCGAAGGCGGCUUCCUGGACCACAACUGACGCUGAGGCGCGAAAGCUAGGGUAGCAAAC
Molecule: ribosomal RNA, 250 nt
Filed under: uncultured bacterium
Lineage: Bacteria
Description: partial 16S ribosomal RNA
Rfam family: Bacterial small subunit ribosomal RNA
Source: RNAcentral